This 58-nucleotide ribosomal RNA is filed under the name Erythranthe glaucescens. RNAcentral describes it as "25S ribosomal RNA". It matches the Rfam family "Eukaryotic large subunit ribosomal RNA", at positions 1 to 57 of the family's 3401-position model. Lineage: Eukaryota; Viridiplantae; Streptophyta; Magnoliopsida; Lamiales; Phrymaceae. The record is from RNAcentral.
UCGACCUGAGCUCAGGCAAGAACACCCGCUGAGUUUAAGCAUAUCAAUAAGCGGAGGA